AUGUGGGUGUACCUUCACAAGAGAAGAUGUCACAAACGAUGGCAUAAGAAAAACCAUAGUGGAGAAGAUAUACAAGAAUUAGCCUGGAUCAGAACUGCCACAUUUUGGCCUCCAGAACCAGAGGCAGAAAAGACAGAUCUGGAAGGUGCUUGUCCAGCUGGGACAGAUAAUCAGUAGAGAUGGCACUAAAGAAUACAGGAAGAGUGCUGGACUUGGUAUUGCCUUCUUAGCUUAGGCGAUCUCAACAUGAUGGUAAACCACAUCAAGGAAUUUACAAGCUCUACAAGAUUCCACCCCUGCAGUACAUGAAUGAGACAAGAAGCAUUUACCCCCAUGAAGGUUUCUACAAUUCGACAAACGUCUCUGUGACAGAAUGCACAAAACUAGUGUCCUUUCUAAGAUGCAAACAAAUGUACACAGCAAGCAAAGGCGGACUGGCUAAUUAAAAAGGCAAGGAAACCCAUCCAGCCCAUGCCAUAACGUAGUAGCUAUUCUGGCUUUGAGGAAUUUACCAGUUACUUCAAUUUGUGCAAAAACUUUUCUCACCAAUGCAAGAAAACUUGUUGACAGUAUCAGAAAAUAUCUGUUAUAGUUGAGACCAUUUUUGCAGUUUCUCCCCCAACAAGAAAGAAUUUCUGUCCCUAUUCCACAAAAUCAAAUAUUUGAAACAGUUUCUUGUCUCUGGGAAUAACACUUCUUCCCCAUCCGCACGUCUUCUUCACUGUCAACAGUAUUUCUA
Non-coding RNA from Pogona vitticeps (central bearded dragon), 739 nucleotides. The record is from RefSeq and is a predicted model, not a curated record. NCBI's taxonomy places the organism in Eukaryota, Metazoa, Chordata, Lepidosauria, Squamata, Agamidae.